AGACCACAGAACUUUCUAAGCCCUUUCAAGAUUCUCAUCUAGACAGAGAAGCAGAGACCAUGGAGCAUGGAACCCUCUUGGUAUGACAUUCUCUAGGCUGUCACACCGUGCAACAAAGGAACACCUCCUGAAACACCUCCGAUGAGAAUCAAGACUGUUGUGUGCUAUACAUUGCAGUGACUGCUGUACAUAUAGUUUCUGGCUCUUAGAGAAACGUAAUGGAUUCAUUAUGGAAAAACAAAGACUUUCAAUAUUUUCUGGUCAUCACUCUUCAGCCUCCUUCUGACACCAACUUUCAAAGUUUUUAAGGAGGUGGACUGAAGAGAGAAUAGCGUGUGUGCUGCUCUUCCAGAGGACCUGAGCUCCCAGCAUCCUGAAACUGCAGUUCAAGGGCACCCAAUGUCUCUGGUCUCUGACCAGAGGAGACACGUGUACAUACAAAAAGGGAAAUUCUGAUAUGGAGAGAUCAGCGUGAAAAUCAGAGUUCAUUGACUCUUCUGCCCCUUUAUGUCUACCUUCAGGUACCCGUCAGGAGGCCUGGCCAGCCCAGUUGGUUCAUGUCAACUGCCCUAUUAAAGUUCAAGAUUCUGUUUGCCCA
Mus musculus (house mouse) is the source of this 598-nucleotide long non-coding RNA. RefSeq annotates it as predicted gene, 35993. The record is from RefSeq and is marked validated. Lineage: Eukaryota; Metazoa; Chordata; Mammalia; Rodentia; Muridae. The transcript is spliced from 4 exons.